This 541-nucleotide long non-coding RNA is filed under the name Hordeum vulgare. Its description in RNAcentral is "long non-coding RNA (HVUL_LNC010790)". The record is from RNAcentral. Lineage: Eukaryota; Viridiplantae; Streptophyta; Magnoliopsida; Poales; Poaceae.
UUUGUUAUUUUUAUGUAGUGUGCAAUGGAUUUAGAAUCCACCAAAUUAUUAUUGCCAUUUCCUAGAGAAAGUCCACAUUACUCAACUGGUGUAGAUGAACUUCUGGAGUUUGCAUAUAGAGAUAUACUUGUAGAUACAAUGUUAAUAGCAUGCCUCUACCACUUCUUGCAUCAUGUCAAUGCAUUGUGCGUUAACAGUUCAUUUGUGUUUUUUUGUAUGUAGAUUCAAAAGAUAAAUGGAAGAGAUUAUAUGGGUGCUUGGCAACUAUACUACAAUGAUGAUGAUGAUGUUCCAGUUCAUGAUGAUGAUGAUGAUGAUGAUGGAGGCUUUCAGUUUAUUUAAGUUGUAGGGAUGAUGUUCUUGUUAGAUGAUGUUCCUCAUUAAGUUUUAGAUAAGUUGUACGAAUGUUGAUGGAUGCCUUGAGUUUAAGUUUUGUUGUGAAGAAAACAUUUGGAUUACACAUCACAUUUGGAUGAUGUUCCUCAUGUAAUAUCACUACUGUAACCCAACAAUUUUAUCUAAUAUAUGAUUUCUUCCUCUC